This 1329-nucleotide long non-coding RNA is filed under the name Heterocephalus glaber (naked mole-rat). RNAcentral's name for it is "lncRNA (ENSHGLG00100036611.1)". Lineage: Eukaryota; Metazoa; Chordata; Mammalia; Rodentia; Bathyergidae. The record is from RNAcentral.
AAAGGGAGUGGCUGUCUCAAUAAAAUUUACAUUUAAUGUGUAUUGUACAUUUCAUAAAAUUUUCAUCUCAUAAAGUAUUUUUCCUUUGAUUUUAUAAAUCAAUUUUAAAAUGGUAAAGAUAUUCUUAGCUUGUCAGCAGUAAAAAAAUAGGAGGCAGGCUGGAUUUGAUCCACAGUUUGCUCUUGCUUACUCUAGUAUAUUAGAAGUAUGGUUGGACCUCCAUAUCCACAGAUUCAACUAAAUGUGGAUCAGAAAUAUUCAAAGAAAAAAUCGCAUCUGUGCUGAACAGGCUCAGAUGUUUUUCUUGUUACUAUGACCUAACAGUACAGUAGAACAACCACGGACUCAUUGCUAACACUGCACUGGGCAUUACAGAUAUUCUAGAGAUGAUUUAAAGCAUACAGGGGUUUGCGUAGUGCACACAAGCACUAUGCAUUCCACAUAAGGGACUCGUGCCCACACACUGGUGUCGCUGCUCAGGUCCUGGGACUGACUCCCUGGGGCCCCUGGCAGGUGACCCUGCAGAGCCAUCUGGGAGCAGCGUGUGUGCCCAGGGCUGAGCUGGCACCUCUCAACACGCUUCAGCCUCACAGCAGCCUUACUGGAGGCUUUGCUGCCUCACUAAGUGACAAGGAGCUAGGAGUGCCCUGGCAGGAAGUGGGGCCACCGGAGCUGGAGUGGGAGCGGGCUGUCUGGGCUCUGCUCUCAGCCCUGGGAAGGAGCCUGUGUCUGUUACAUGGCACGGGGUGGGACGGAGCCCAGGCUUCACCACGGGCGCUGGGACUGGACACCUGCAUCCCCGCUGUCCACCACUCUCCUGCCUGCUGCUCCCUGGCCACUCAGCGUUCAUGACCCCAGGACUGAUGGCUCCCUGCUGACCUGUUGAAUCUGUCUCCCCUUGGACCGUUAUCCCACACCGCUGGAUGGGAGCGCAUCUGCCGGACCCACCUCUGAAGGUCAGCACCAAGCCCAGAACCGGGGCCAGAGCAAGUGCUCAGCAAACAUCUGGCAGAUGAACAAGCGGGCGCUCGCCUCUCCCAGCCACCGGGCAGCCCCAGAAGCAGGUGUCAUUGUGCUCCCGCCACCAGACUGAGAAACCAGACUCAGAGACGAAAGGCAGCACUUCCAAAAGGGCAGGAACAAGUUUGAGACCCUGUUUUAUCUUUAUUUGUCUUUAUUAGAGUGCCAUGAGCGUUCCCUCAUGGCCACGCAUUCUGUCUCUCGUGUAUGUUUGUGUGCGGGUUUACUUUGGCAUAGAUGCUCCGAUUCAGGUGACAAAUGAUGGGAGGCAGCAGAGAGCCCCACCCCACUUUUGUUUCCUAGCCACCU